AGGACACCCCUUGGAGCUGGAUGUGUGGCCAUGCCAGGGGAAGAGGGAGCAGGAGCUGCUCUCGUGGCGGGGGAUGCGGGUGAAAAGCUCCAGGGACUGGAGGCCGAACAGGGUGGAGAUCCCCCAAGCCGCGUCUGGCACCUUCUUCCUCCCAGCGCCGUCAACGGGCGCGACUUCCCCAAACCGAGCUGAGCAGCCUUUUGGAGGAGGGGGUUGUGAUUGGUGAGACGACGGAGCCAGCGCUGCGCUUAAAGCCUCGGGGCGGACGAGGAAGCGUCAGGCACACGGAGAGCCCCGCCAGCCCCGGACCAUGCGGCCCCUGCAGCGCCUCCGCCCGCUCCUCCUGCUCGCCCUGCUCGCCCUCUGCAUGUCCCUCUGCCAGGCGCAGGAGGAGAAGCAGCCUCCAAAAGAGACUCCGCGCACCAACGCAACGACCAGCGCCAGCCUGAACCCCCCCUGCGGGAGCCCCCCGCUCCUCUCCCUCGCCCUGGGGGUGGUCGCAGCCUUCCUCCUGCAUCUGCGCUGACCGGGAGGGGGUCACCGUGCACCCCCCUCCUCCCCGGAUCCCCCAAGAAGAACCCCAAGAAACAACCCCCCUCCAGGAUGACAUCCCCUUCACCGGCAGCACCGCGGCAUCGCUCCCGUCCACCCCUACCGCCCUCCGCUCCCCUCGGCCCGGCGUGAGACCCCCGGCCCGGGAGCGGAGCAAUAAACGUGCUGGUGUCGAGA
Myiozetetes cayanensis is the source of this 729-nucleotide long non-coding RNA. RefSeq lists it as uncharacterized. NCBI's taxonomy places the organism in Eukaryota, Metazoa, Chordata, Aves, Passeriformes, Tyrannidae. The transcript is spliced from 2 exons. The record is from RefSeq and is a predicted model, not a curated record.